UCGGAUCAGGUAGGGAUACCCGCUGAACUUAAGCAUAUCAAAGGCCGGAGGGA
Molecule: ribosomal RNA, 53 nt
Filed under: Cryptosporiopsis sp. ZJWCF069
Lineage: Eukaryota; Fungi; Ascomycota; Leotiomycetes; Helotiales; Dermateaceae
Description: partial 28S ribosomal RNA
Source: RNAcentral